UGUCCGCCUGGGAACUACGAGCAUCAGCUUAAAACCCGAAGGACUUGGCGGUGCUUAAGAUCCACCUAGAGGAGCCUGUUCUAGAACCGAUAACCCCCGUUAAACCUCACCCUCUCUUGUUCCUGCCGUCUAUAUACCGCCGUCGUCAGCUUACCCUGUGAAGGUCCUAUAGUAAGCUAAAUUGGCAAAGCCCAAAACGUCAGGUCGAGGUGUAGCAUAUGAGAGGGGAAGAAAUGGGCUACAUUCUCUGUAAACAGAGCACACGGAAAGUAUGUUGAAAGACACACUGGAAGGAGGAUUUAGCAGUAAGGAGUAAAUAGAGCGUACCCCUGAAGCUGGCCCUAAAGCGCGCACACACCGCCCGU
This 365-nucleotide ribosomal RNA is filed under the name Gastrocymba quadriradiata. RNAcentral's name for it is "partial small subunit ribosomal RNA". It matches the Rfam family "Bacterial small subunit ribosomal RNA", at positions 866 to 1397 of the family's 1533-position model. Lineage: Eukaryota; Metazoa; Chordata; Actinopteri; Blenniiformes; Gobiesocidae. The record is from RNAcentral.